Molecule: long non-coding RNA, 216 nt
Filed under: Solanum tuberosum (potato)
Lineage: Eukaryota; Viridiplantae; Streptophyta; Magnoliopsida; Solanales; Solanaceae
Description: long non-coding RNA (STUB_LNC004024)
Source: RNAcentral
UUUUUGAAUUUAAAACUCCAAUUUCUUUCACCAUUAAGGAAAACAUACUUUUCUCGCAAUUUUAAACCAUUCCAAAAGAGGAAAGGGAAGAUGGACGAGCUCGAUCGAUCUCUCGUCCUUAAAGCGCCACGCGGCUCAAUCUCAAGGCUAUAAGGACGAAAUUGCAGAUGUCUUACCUGCUCUGUGCUGCUGCGACUGUUGGAAGAUGAUGUUAAC